This 487-nucleotide ribosomal RNA is filed under the name uncultured bacterium. RNAcentral describes it as "partial 16S ribosomal RNA". It matches the Rfam family "Bacterial small subunit ribosomal RNA", at positions 28 to 507 of the family's 1533-position model. The record is from RNAcentral.
GAUGAACGCUAGCGAUAGGCUUAACACAUGCAAGUCGAGGGGCAGCACAAGGUAGCUUGCUAUCUGGGUGGCGACCGGCGCACGGGUGCGUAACGCGUAUGCAACUUGCCCUAUACAGGAGGAUAACCCGUCGAAAGACGGACUAAUACUGCGUAUGCUCACAACUUGGCAUCAAGUGGUGAGGAAAGAAAUUCGGUAUAGGAUAGGCAUGCGUCCCAUUAGCUUGUUGGUGAGGUAACGGCUCACCAAGGCAACGAUGGGUAGGGGAACUGAGAGGUUUAUCCCCCACACUGGUACUGAGACACGGACCAGACUCCUACGGGAGGCAGCAGUGAGGAAUAUUGGUCAAUGGGCGCGAGCCUGAACCAGCCAAGUCGCGUGAAGGAGGGCUGUCUUAUGGAUUGUAAACUUCUUUUAUACGGGAAUAACAAGAGUCACGUGUGACUCCCUGCAUGUACCGUAUGAAUAAGCAUCGGCUAACUCCGUG